CAAGUCGAGCGGCAGAGAGGAGCUUGCUCCUCUUGAGAGCGGCGGACGGGUGAGUAAUGCCUAGGAAUCUGCCUGGUAGUGGGGGAUAACGUUCGGAAACGGACGCUAAUACCGCAUACGUCCUACGGGAGAAAGCAGGGGACCUUCGGGCCUUGCGCUAUCAGAUGAGCCUAGGUCGGAUUAGCUAGUUGGUGAGGUAAUGGCUCACCAAGGCGACGAUCCGUAACUGGUCUGAGAGGAUGAUCAGUCACACUGGAACUGAGACACGGUCCAGACUCCUACGGGAGGCAGCAGUGGGGAAUAUUGGACAAUGGGCGAAAGCCUGAUCCAGCCAUGCCGCGUGUGUGAAGAAGGUCUUCGGAUUGUAAAGCACUUUAAGUUGGGAGGAAGGGCAGUAAAUUAAUACUUUGCUGUUUUGACGUUACCGACAGAAUAAGCACCGGCUAACUCUGUGCCAGCAGCCGCGGUAAUACAGAGGGUGCAAGCGUUAAUCGGAAUUACUGGGCGUAAAGCGCGCGUAGGUGGUUUGUUAAGUUGGAUGUGAAAUACCCCGGGCUCAACCUGGGAACUACAUUCAAAACUGACUGACUAGAGU
RNAcentral lists this ribosomal RNA (595 nucleotides) under obligately oligotrophic bacterium POCPN-3. RNAcentral's name for it is "bacterial SSU rRNA". It matches the Rfam family "Bacterial small subunit ribosomal RNA", at positions 58 to 647 of the family's 1533-position model. The record is from RNAcentral.